Molecule: long non-coding RNA, 1850 nt
Organism: Perca fluviatilis (European perch)
Lineage: Eukaryota; Metazoa; Chordata; Actinopteri; Perciformes; Percidae
Exons: 3
Source: RefSeq, a predicted model, not a curated record
UUAUUAGGUGGCAGUAUAUCUGGGUGUAGGGGUAGUCGAUAGGGCUGGGAUGAUAUGCCUUUGUCCAGACUCGAUUCUUUGACGAUAUACAAGUGCCGAUUCGAUUUGUAUUGCGAAUAUCAUUUAUUGCGGUUGUAGAAGUACUGUGGUUCCAUAGUAUGGAGUGUUGCGAUUUUGUUUUCCUUCUUUAACAAAAGUUGAAGCAUACACUUAUAGAGACAAUAUAUUCAGAGACAUUUCCAAAAAUAAAUUGUUUCCUAAGAAGAAUGCACAUUGCAUUGUCAGUCAGUCAGUCAGACACUUAUUUCAUUUGUAAAGCAUUUUCUGCUUUCGGUCUGUUUUGCUGGAAACCAAUGGUGAAGUCAUCUUCAACGGUACCGUAUAAACACAGAAUAUUUAGGUGAAUCAUAGAUACAAAAAAAAAAUAAGAUUCUGGAGAAAAGAAUCUACUUUAAAAAGCAUAGCAAAAUAAAAAUACACGAUACAUACGUGAAUCGUUUUUUAUCCCCACCCCUAGUAGUCGACAUGAUGGUUAAGAAUGUAAAGAGGAGGAGGGUCCACUAUGACACCACCCACCUAAUGACUUCAUGAGGAUCUGCUGACAGGAGGGUUUACUCAAACAGGAGGUUGGAAAGACAAUGAAUUACAGCAACAAGAUUUUGAUCGUGUGUAUUGUUCAAUAUAACCAAACACUUGGAAAACAAAAUGAUCAUCUUAUUCCUCAGCAUUACUUUGAACACAAUUCUGGUUUCAGGUUCCUCUCUCAGUGACAAAGUCUACCAGACUCCAGCUCAUGUGUUCAACGAACCCAAAGAAACAGCCAAAAUCAACUGUUCACACAGUAUUGACAGCUACAACCGAAUCCUCUGGUACAAGCAAUCGGACAGACAACUGCAGUUCCUGGGAUACAUGUUAGCAACCAGUGGAAACCCAGAGGCUGGUCUGGGUGUGAAGAUAGAAGGGAGUGCAAAUAAAGACCAAAACUGCACAUUAACAAUUGAAGAACUCAGCCUGAGCAGCAGUGCAGUGUACUUCUGUGCUGCUAGUUUACACAGUGCUACAUAUCACUACUCCUCAGUACAAAAACCUCCUCACAGCUGUGUUCCUUCCUCAGUAUAUCAUUACUCAGAUCUGUAUGCUGAGCCAGUGGUGUGUAAAAGCUAGUUACCAUGAGUUAUAUACACAAUGACACCACCCACCUAAAGACCUGGGAGGGUUUACUCAAAGAGGAGGCUGGAAAUACUCAGUUAGUACAACUGCUUCAUUCAUUGCGACAACAAAUUAGUGUUCCUAUUUUGAUCUAGAUUUUCCAAAACCACCUAACACUCAGAAAAAAAACACAAUGAUCAUCACAUUCCUUUGUAUUACUUGUACCUCUAUUCUGGUUUCAGGUUCCUCUCUCAGUGACAACGUCCACCAGACUCCAGCUGAUGUGUUCAACAAACCUGAUGAAACGUUAGAAAUCAACUGUAAACACAGCAUUCAGAACUACAACCAAAUCCUCUGGUACAAGCAAUCGGACAGACAACUGCAGCUCCUGGGAUACAUGAUGAUAACCAGUGGAAACCCAGAGGCUGGCCUGGGUGUGAAGAUAGAAGGGAGUGCAGCUAAAGACCAGACCUGCACAUUAACAAUUGAAAAACUCAGCCUGAGCAGCAGUGCAGUGUACUUCUGUGCUGCUUGGUUACACAGUGCUACAUAUCACUGCUCCUCAGUACAAAAACCUCCUCAUCACACUCAUUCUUUAUCUCUGUAUUAAAGCUCACAGUGCCUCCGUGCACCUGGAAUAAGCCAGUCUAACCAAUGUCUGUCUCUCUUCUGAUUAAGAUCCAAAAUUAGAAUGGGAGGUC